UUCAAGGUUUCAAAGCUACACAGCUUUGAUAUUUCUUCAACAACUCCUUGUCUAAUUUCCUCCUCCGAGAAAGGGUAGCCCAAGAAAUCAGCCAGCGUCUUCAAGUUGGAAGCAAUAUCCUCCUUCAAAUCUUCAUAUUUCAAAAAUAAGACUUUUUCAGGAUGCUCCAAACUCAUCUUCCAAUACCCUAAAACAUGUUCCCAAAAUGGACCAAAGGCAUGAGUUCCUUUACAAAACCUGUCAAAAGCUUCCUCCAUUGAAAAUAUUGUUAGGAUAGUUUUGAAUUGUGAUUUAAUUAGGAUUGUUUAUUUCUAAUUAAAUUAGUUAUACCUUAUAAAUAGUCUUUAAAUUUAGUUAGAUUAGAAUAACAAUUUCUAAUUCUAUUAGGAUAAGAUUCCUAAUUAUAUUAGGAUAAAGUUAUUGUAUUUGAUACUAUAAAAAGACCCUAUGGGUUAAAGAAUAAUAAUCACCUAGAUUUAGAGAGAGUGAUUUAGGUGUACGUGGGAUAAGGGUUAUGAGUUUGAGACUGUUCUUGUAAUCUCCUGAUUUUCUCUUAGUGGAUUUUUCUCUGUUGUUGUGCCCGUGGACGUAGGUCAUCAAAAGACCGAACCACGCAAAUUCUUGUGUUCUUGUGGGUGGGCUUGAUUUCUUUCUUUCUUUAUUCUUUUGAUUGGGUUAGAUCUUGGGCACUUCUUUAGAGACAAUUCCGCAAUUUCCCAACAAACUGGUAUCAGAGCUUCAAGGUCUUGGAUCAAUCUGAAUCUCGCUAUGGCAACUUCGUCGACCAAGUAUGAGAUUGAAAAGUUUAAUGGAAGAAACGAUUUCAGCCUGUGGCGUGUUAAGAUGCGCGCAUUGCUAGUGCAACAAGGACUGUUGAAGGCACUGAAGGGAAAAGAGCAUCUUCCCUCGAAUUUAUCUGAUGGUGAGAAAGAUGACCUUAUGGAAAAAGCACAUAGUGCUAUUCUCCUUGCUUUGUCUGAUGAGGUGCUAAGAGAAGUCACGGAUGAAGAAUCUGCUGCUGCAGUGUGGUUUAAACUCGAAAGUAUUUAUAUGACCAAGUCCCUGACGAAUCGGCUUUAUAUGAAGCAACGAUUGUAUACUCUCAAGAUGAGUGAAGGUACGUCCGUUAAUACCCACAUUGAUGAAUUUAAUAGAGUUAUUCUUGAUUUAAAGAAUAUCGAUGUUAAAAUUGAGGAUGAGGACCUAGCCCUAAUUCUUUUAUGUUCUUUGCCUCCAUCGUAUGAAAAUUUCGUGGAUACUAUGCUUUACGGCCGAGACACUCUCACUUUCGAGGAUGUAAGGGCAUCUUUAAAUUCCAAGGAAUUAAAGAAGAAAGUUGGUGGUAUUCGGAAUGAAAAUCAAGCAGAAGGUUUGGUUGUAAAUAGAGGUAGAGGUAAAGAGAAAGGCUUAGACAGAAAAGGUAAAUCUAGAGCAAAAGGGAAAACUUGCUGGAAUUGUGGUCAGAAAGGGCAUUUUCGUCAAGACUGUAUCAAAUUCAAGGAUGAUGAAAAGUUUAAUAAGUCUGAGAAUACUGCAAACGUGGUUGGAGAUGACUUUGAUACUUUUGAGGAAACUGAUAAUGUUCUUGCAAUUACUAAUUGUAACCUGAUGGAUACAUGGAUCUUGGAUUCGGCUUGUUGCUUUCAUAUAUGUCCUAGGCGUGAUUGGUUUACAACUUAUCAAUCUGUUAAUAUGGGCACUGUACAAUUAGGAGAUGAUUUCUCUCUCUCAGUUGUUGGAAUUGGCACAAUUAGAAUCAAGAUGUUUGAUGGUAUGGUAAGAACACUUGAGGUAAAACAUGUCCCUGACAUGAAAAAGAAUUUAAUAUCCUUGAGUUUGUUAGAUAAGAAGGGCUACAAAUAUAGUGGCCAAGAUGGUGUCUUGAAUGUAUCUAAAGGAGCCUUAACUAUCAUGAAGGGCAAGUUAUCCGGUGACCUUUAUUGUCUAGUGGGAAACACGGUCAUUGAAACUGUUUCUGUGGUCUCAUCUAAUGAUCCUGAAGAUGAUGUAACACGUUUAUGGAAUAUGAGAUUUGGUCAUAUGAGCGAGAGAGGGAUUAGAAAACUAAGUAAGCAUAGUUUGCUGUGUGGUCAAAAGAGUGGAAAGCUAGAUUUCUGUGAGCAACAUAGAGUGAAAUUUAGCACUAAAACUCAUCAAACCAGGGGUACAGUAAACUACAUCUAUUUAGAUUUGUGGGAUCCUUCUCCGGUGGUAUCAAAAGGUGGAUCAUUAUACAUGUGGAUCUUUAUUGAUGAUUUUUCAAGAAAGGUGUGGACGUAUCUUCUAAAGGCUAUGAGUGAAGUGUUAACCACCUUUUUGCAUUGGAAGGUAUUGAUCGAGAAGCAGACUAAGAAAAGGAUCGAGAGCUUUCGAACAAACAAAGGUUUGAAAUUUUGCAAAGGUGAGUUUGGUCUAUUCUACAAGAAUGAGAAAAUCGUUAGACAUCGCACUGUCGACAAAACACCAUAUCAAAACGAUAUUGUAGAAUUGAUGAAGAAAACACUUUUGGAGAGAGCAAAAUACGUGUUCUCAAAUGUUGGCCUAACCAAAGUAUUUUGGACAGAAGCUAUCAACAAGGCUUGUUACUUGGUAAAUCGGUCUCCAUCAACUGCAAUUGAAUUUAAGACUCCCAAGGAAGUUUGGUCUGGUAAGCCUGCUGAUUAUUUUAUAUUGAGAGUAUUUGGUUGUCCUGUUCAUGUUCAUGUGAGUGAUGGUAAACUUGAGUUGAGGGCGACAGAGUGCAUAUUCCUAGGCUAUGCAUAUGGGGUGAAGGGUUAUUGGUUGUGGUGUACUGAUUGUAAGUUCCCCAAGUUUAUGGUGAGUCGGGAUGUUACCUUUGACAAGUCUGCAUUACUUUGUGGGAUAAAGUCUAGAAUUGCAAACACAUCAGACCAAGAAGUUGGCAAGCAGGUGGAGCUUGAAAUCAAUGCUCUUGUGACAGUGCGAGAUGAUAGUGAAAUCCAGAAAGAAUUGCAAGAGGUACAAGAAUUGGUAUCUCAACGAAGCAUUACUUGUAUUGAUGGUGAUUUUGAUUCUUAUGUUUUAUUUGUGGAAGUAGAGAUUGAAGAGCCUUACUUUUAUCAUGAGAAAAUUAUAUAUGUCGAGUCUUCUAAGAAGAUUGAGUCUCUACACUGGGAUCAAACAUGGGAGCUUGUGAAAACACCUAAAGUUACUAUUGAAGUUGGCUUAGUGUGUGAAGGAGGUGCAAACAUUAGUCGUAAUGUGGUUGGCUUCUCCAAAUCAGAUUUUGCUGGUGAUCUAGAUAGUAGAAGAUCUCAAACGGGGUAUGUGUUCACUCUCUCAGGAUCUGCAAUCAGUUGGAAAGCAGUUCUUCAAUCAACCUUUGCUUUGUCUACAACUGAAGCUGAAUAUAUGGCUGUGACCGAGGCAGUGAAGGAGGCUUUGUGGCUUAAAGGCUUGGUUAGUGAUCUUGGUUUUGAACAAACACAAACAGUUGUGUUUUGUGAUAGUCAAAGUGCUAUACAUUUGACUAAAAAUCAGAUGUUUCAUGAGAGAACCAAACACAUCCAAGUCAAGUGUAACUUCGUUCGAGAGAUUAUUUCUAAAGGUGAGAUUGUAGUAAAGAAAAUAGCUACAGAUGAAAAUCCGGCAGAUAUGCUAACUAAGUCGGUUUCUGGGAUAAAGUUCAAGCAUUGCUUGGACUUGAUCUGUGUUCGUAGUGCUUGAGGCCCUUUAGAGCAUUAGUGGUGUCGGCAGAGAAUGGUUCGUAAGGUGGCUAAUUCAAGCCUAAGGUGGAGAUUUGUUAGGAUAGUCUUGAAUUGUGAUUUUAUUAGGAUUGUUUAAUUCUAAUUAAAUUAGUAUACCUUAUAAAAUAGUUUUUAAAUCUAGUUAGAUUAGAAUAACAAUUCCUAAUUCUAUUAGGAUAAGAUUCCUAAUUAAAUUAGGAUAAGGUUAUUGUAUUUGAUACUAUAAAAGGACUCUAUGGGUUAAAGAAUAAUAUCACCUAGAUGUAGAGAGAGUGAUUUUAAGUGUACGUGGGAUAAGGGUUAUGAGUUUGAGACUGUUCUUGUAAUCUCCUGAUUUUUCUCUUAGUGAAUUUUUCUCUUUUGUUGUGCCCGUGGACGUAGGUCAUAAAAAGACCGAACCACGUAAAUUCCUGUGUUCUUGUGGGUGUGCUUGAUUUCUUUCUUUCUUUAUUCUAUUGAUUGGGUUAGAUCUUGGGCAAUUCUUUAGAGACAAUUCCGCAAUUUCCCAACAAAAAAGGUUUGAAAUCUUCAUUUCGGGGAAAAUUAUUCACAACAUAGAGCCAAUCCGAGAUGAAUUGGUCGAGAGGGUUCCUGCAAAGAUAAACAAUGCGACAAUUGGAUUUUAGGAUGGAACCAGGCAAUGUACCAUAGGGUGUGUGAGUUGCAAAAAUUCUUGGGCUAGGAAAAUUUCCAUUUUCAAGAUCAGGAGUUUGGUUUUUCGAGUAAAUGCUGACCUCAAUGAAAGGCACAAGGUCAUGGGGGUUUGUUGUGAGCAAAGGGCUUUGCGUGUGUGGGAAUUGCUUGCGGUUCACAAUGGAGAAGAUGAGAGCCUUCAACCAUGUGGUGCCUGAUUUGGGCGUAGUGAUUAAAAAGAUAUCAGUAUCAUGCGCUUUGAAGUGGCUUUGAAAUGAAAUGAUUGCCUUGGCCGCAACCAAAGGGUACCAAAAGCCUUGGUAUUGGUAGAGAGUAUAGCCAACCCAGUUUUUCUCUUGUGGAAGUGUUUGAACCAAUUCUUCCAUUAGCUUGUCUCCUUCGGAGGAAAUGUUUUUGGAUGCAGUUUUAUCAUCCAUAAGAGCAAGCAAAUUGAAUGAAUGUUUGCUGAGAAGAAAGAUAGGGAGACCGGUACAUGUGUUAAUGAUACUACAAUUAUGAAAUAUACAAAAGCUGUCAAAUGAUGCAUAACCUCUUGUAUUUCAUUUUCUUUCUUUCUAUGUCCCACUUACAAUCUUCAAUAAUUUUAGUAGGUAAAAUAACCUAUUCAACCAUAACUUUCAUACUUUCGUCAAAUAAAUUUGCAAAAAAAACAUAUUCGUUCAAAGUAAACUCAAUAAGACUCUUAAUUUAAUUUUAAUAAUCAUAUUUCUCUCUCAACUUUGCACUGUUCUCUCCUUUAAUUCAAUCUUACCAAAAAUGGUGUUUCUUUUGUGGAGCCAUGAACAUCCACUAAUUUCACAAACAAACCUAAUUUUUUCUAAACCAAACACAGAAAAAAAUAAAGGCUUUUCAAGAAAUACAUUUUCCUUUGCAGGUAACCUUUGAAUCAAACCCCAAAAGUCCAAAUUACAAUAUGUGCAGCAGAUGAACCCGAUAUAGGUGAGUGGUCACUGAUCAGCCAGCCUGUAUGACAAUCAAAUGAGGGAACUUGAAUGUAGGGGUGUACUAAUGGGACAACUCUGAGCCAUGCAUUCUGAGAUGGAAAGUGAAAGCACGAGUACCUAGCGUGACUAAAUAGUCUUGCUUUGGACCAUGAAUCUACCUUGAUAAAUGCUUACCAUAACACAGUCCACAGGUCAAGUUAUCGUCCCAAACUCGUGGUUCGCCCUUAUUCACGUCGGAUUUGAUUGGAUUAUUUAUUAAUAAAAUAAUAUAUUUUAAUUUAAUUUAAUUAAAAUUAUAUAAAAAUAUUAAUUUUUUAUUUUAAUGAAAAAUUAAUAUGUAAAUGAGCAGGUUGAAGAAGAAAUUUAAUUAAUUACAAUAAUUAAGAAAUAAUUUAUUUAUAUUUAUUAUCAUUGCUAUAUGUAUUUAGUAUCAAUAAAUUUGUCAAUCUUAUAAUAAUCAAAAUUUUAAAAUAUAAAAAAGUAAGUAAAGUAUUAAAUCGCCCCUAGAAUUUUUGAAGAUUUUUAUCUAUUAUAUAUAUUUUUAAUGUCUCUCUUGAUAACUUUAUUAUAUAGAGUUAUUUUAACAUAUUUUGAGGGUUUAAAUAGAUAGAUCUUUGAGAUUUUGGGUUUGGAUUGUAACAUUUUUUGUGUUUUUCUAGUUUAAGUUUGAUUAGCUAAUUUAAGUUAUUUUAGUUUAAUUUUAUGUUAUUUUAUUUUAAAUUACUUUAAGAAUAGUUAUUGCUAAUUUCUCUUAUUGCUUUUAUAGGAAAUUUGAUGAAAAUCAAUACAAGUAUGGUGCUGGCUUCAUUCGUAUUUAUUUCGGUAUUUUGACCAUAUCUCUUUCUACAAAACUCCAAAUGAGGUGAUUCUUGGAACGCUAGAAUAAGUCGGAGCACUGCAACAGUACGCAUGGACUGAAUAUGAUGCAGUAUUUGGAGCAUAUCUUUCAAUCCAAAAGUCCAAUUGACAUGAUUCUUAAUCCAUUGGAAAGUUAAAAGAUAGAGUUACAACUGUUAUGCUUACCACUUUUUUCAAUUCGAAGCAGAUUAGGGUAAAAAUCACGUUCGAAAUUGAUAAACCGCUACAGCACUGGGAGAACAAGGCUGCAGCGCUGGUGAAAGGACGCCCACCAUACAAUUUUCCCGAGAGCCCAGCGCUGCAGCACUAUUGUAGCAAAAAAAAACCAACGCCACGACGCUGGGCAAUUUUUCAAAAAUAAAAAUUUGACGAGAUUUUGAAAAUUAAGUUACUUGGAGCCUAUUUAAGAGAUCUUUUUUCAAGGUUUUAAGGGAAGGCAACAAGCAACUAUUCUGGAGAUUUAAAGUCAAUAACAAAGUAAGAAAACAAGAGAAUUGAAGGGAGAAUCAAGAUCACAAAGUUUCAGUUAUUAGUUUCCUCUCUUUACUUUCGUGUUUUUCUUAUUUUCUUUGACUUGAAUUAAUGGUUAAUUUUCUUUAGAUGAAGUUUUUAUUAGAUAUUAUGAUCUAAAUUUAUUUUUUUAAGACUGCAAUUGAACUCAUAUGUAAUCUAAACUUUUAAUCUCUUUCUUGCUUAUUUUUAAUGGGAUUUGAAUUGUUUGUUUCAAUUUGGUUUUAAUGUUUUUAAUUGCUUGAUCACUAAUUAAAUUGAUUUAGGAACCUAAACAAAUUUGGGAGACGGAGUUUAGUGUCGUCUAAAAUUGAGAUAGCAUAUAAUCAUAUUAAUUUAUUUGCAUAUAGGAAAGGGAUAUACUUAUAGGCCUUAUGUAGCCAAAUUAGAGCCUGAACUUAAUGAGUCUGUUUUAACUUCAAUUCACAUAGGGAUAUAGUGUCUUUGUUAAAAUAGAUAUUUUUAUAAGAUGAGUCGAGAGACCCUUAUAAAUAAUUGGGGACUCUAGGUUAGUAAUUUAACCCAUUGAAAUAAGUUAAGAAAGAGAGUUACGAUUUAGAUAAAGUGUGAGUGAUAUUGUAUAUUUUGAUUUGAUUUUUACCCAACUAUCUUGUCGCUUUGAUUUCUAUUUUUAGUAUAAAUUUUGGUUAAUUAAUUUAGUUAUUUGAAUUUGAUUGUUUGGAUAAGAUUAAAUUGUUCUAAUUUUAGUACUUAGUAAAAUUUUAGAUCAAUUCUCUGUGGGAUCGAUAUUCAGCUUGCUUAUAUACUAUCUAUUCGAUAUGUAUACUUAUAUAAUAGAAUUGUAACUAACAUCCUUCCAAAAUUUUUAAAUUUUUUAUAUAUUAUAUAUUUUUUUCCUUUAAUGACCCCUUCAAAAUAAUUUUUAUUUAAUAAUUAUUAUAAAUAAAAAAUAAUAAAAUCAUCCUACAAACCCUACUAACCUUUAUCUUAAUUUAAGUUUCUACAUACUUUUUUCUCUCUCUCUUCUCGUAUCUUUUGUCCUUUUAUGUUCCAUGAUUUUAGUCUUUAAAAAUUAAAUACUUAUUAUGUAAUUCUCAAAUAUAAGUUAUAAUGUUACACUACUUAUUGUUGCUUAAAUCAAUGUAUCAUUUUUUUAUUAAUCUUGAUUAUAUAAGAGGAAAUUAUAUUGAAUAUAUAUAUUUAUGUGCUUUACAUUUUAUAUUUUGUCACGACCCAAAUCGGGGAUUCAUGAUCAACACGAGUCUAGAGGCAAAGCCCGUGAGGCCUUAGAUCAAAAUCAUCUAUCAUUAGCCAAAGGAUUCCACACAAAGUAUUUUCAUAGCAUAACUAAACUCAAAUACAAAUAUUUGACCUUGGCAUAUCAUUCAUACUCCAUAUUUAAUACAUUAUUCAUAAGAUAUUCAUUGGCCAUUAAGGCAGGUUCAUAUUUACAACCCUUAGACAAAUAUAAAUGGCAUGUUGUUCCCACAUACAUCACAAUUAUACUGAGUACGGAAGCUUGCAAUAGACUUAGCAAAGUGACCAAAUGGGAUGGGGACCUAUCGGAUGUCAAAAUUGAUCUGUCAAUGGACGACCCUUGUCACGCAAUCCUGUGGCUUAUUUAUCUACACAUGGUAUAGUAAAUGGGUGAGUCAUCUAAUACUUAGUGAGGGGAGCAGAUAAAUAAAACAUAUAUGAUAUACAUAUAUAUACACACAUAUAGCAUUAUCAAUGCUAACAAAAUGCUCUAACAAGAAUCUCCAAUAUUAGGGGCAUAUCAGUCAUCCCUAUGAAAUCUCCACAAGUAGUACAUAUUAACUAGGCUUAUCCUUGAAGCCAUUCAAAGUUGCACUCCAUAGGCACACUUUAGUUUUCGAAGUGUUAUAUCAAAUCAAGUCUAUCUUUGCCUCUCUGAGGCUAUGUACAUCAUCCGUGAUUUAAAUCAAAUCUUAGAGUGGUCUUCUCUGGACAUAAAUAAAUCACGCAUGGUGGCCAAUCGACUAAGUCAAACCCUCAUGCGAAGUAGUUUUGAUGGAUGGCAUCAAAUCAACUCAUGCGUGUGUUGAAGCAAUCAGGCGAAGUACACAAUCAUCAUCCGAAGUAAUUGUCGUUAUGUGAGACAUCAAAAUUCCAGGAGUGGCCACCAAUCUUUUUUAUAUUUAUAUAUGAUUGGUCACUUAUUAAAUUUGUCUUAUUUGACGAGGUUCUAAAUCGAUUUUAGGUUCGUCUAAAGAACAAAACUUGGUCUAUGAAUUUGAGAAUUGGGUUCGGGAGUAUAGUUAUGUAUGGGGAAAGAUUAACACUCCUAUAACUCUCGUUCAACAAACGAUAUCAAAUAAUCAUUUGUUAUAAUAUUUUAACCUUAUUUUUAGUUUUAUUCUUGUGUUUUCUUAAUCACUGUUUAUUUAUUUUUUAAUCUUAUUUUAAUUUUUUUGACUACAAACGAAUCUUUUUAUUGAAGAAUAUUUCCCUGAGUCCUUCCAUCUUUCUAGUAAAAUACAAAAGAUAUCUUUUCACCUAGAGAAUUUGUUGAAGAAACUUAUCUUUUCAAAUUUUUCAAAAAAAACCCCAUCAUCGGGAUCAUCAUCCAAACUUUAUUUCAAAGAUAAAAAUAUGCAUGAUGAAUAUGAAAUGCAGGGAUGAUGAAUCUUAUGGAUUCCAAAUUAUUACAUAUGAAUGAUGAUCGCUUAUUGAGGGCAUUUCCCUGGUUUUCCCAUCUUUUUGGUAAAAUCUAGGAUUGCCCUAUCACCUAGAGAAUUCCUUGAGAAACUUAUCUUUUGAAAUUUUACAAGGAAAUCUCAUCAUUGGGAUCACUGUUCAUAGGUACGUGUGUCAAUGGAGUGCAAGUUCAUAAUUAAUUAUUACACUUGACAACCUUUUAUCAAUGCCAUUUCUAGGAUCCUCCCAUCAUUUUGAUGAAAUUCGAAAAUAUCAUCUCACCUAGAGAAUUCUCCAAUGAAACUUAUCCUUCCAAGCUUCUUAGAAAAAUCACAUCAUCGGGAUUGGCAAUCGUGUACAGAAUAAGGUUUGUCGAGCUUGAUGCAUAUUAUAAUUUGUUAAAUACAAAUCAAAGUCUUGUAUUGAUAGCAUUUUCCGGAUCCUCCCAUCAUUUUGGUAAAAUUUAGGACCGAAUUCUCACUUAGAGAAUUUCUUAGGAAAGCUUAUCCUUACAAACUUCCUCAAAAAGAUCUCAUCAUCGGAACCUUGAUUUGCAUGCAGGAUAUAAAAUCAAAAUGAAUAGAAUGACAAUUUAAAAAAAAUGUAAUUAUGAUGGCGCAUAAUAAUCUAGCUAUUAUUUUUACUAUUCCUUUUUGGCAAAGUUAAAAUAUUAUUUUCUAUUAUUAUAUUAUUAUUCUAUUUUUUACUUAUUAUUAUUUUUUACAUUAUCCUGUGUGUUUCCAAUAGUGAUGAAUAAAACCUAAAUAUCCUAUCAUGUUAUUUUAUAAAAGUAUUAAUAUUCAACAUUUUUUAGGCAUCAAAAUAAUUUAUAUAUAUAUCUUUCGCUAAACUAUAUCUAUUUAUUUAUUUAUUUACUUUUUUUUGCAUAUCCAUAUUAUUUUAACACACAUUAUUUAAUGUGAUUAACUACCGUAUUUUGUUCAUAUAUUUUUUAGAAAAUAAAAAUAUUAUUGCAUGAUAACUAAACAAACAAACAAAAAUCAAGGAGAAAACAUAAACAAACGAAAACCAAGCCCAAUAGCAAGUCAAACCAAUAUUCAAAGGGAGGUCCAUUACGUUAUGUUGUUUCAAUUCUUUUCAGGGCUUGGCUUUCGGUUUGUACCCAAAGAAAAACUUCCGUGCACCACAACGAAGUCCAGUAAGCCAAACUAGAUGGAAAUAUUUCAUUAGGUUGUCGAAUACUUUCAACUGUGUCCAUUCCGCGUAUAGAGAAAUGUUUCUUAAUUUUCAGACACUAGAAGCAGCCCCAAGUGUUUCUCUUUGGUGCUUGUUUUAUGACUCAUAUAUUUGACAAAGUUAACGUAUAUACCCUCAAUAUAGCCAUUUAAAUCUUGUGUGUCAAUCUGCCUGUAUUUCCAUUACAGCAGCCAGCCUCUUCCACUUUUAAAUGAGGAAUCUUGAAUGUGAAAGUGUAGUAAUGAGACAACUCCGGCUCAUAUAUUCUGACAUGAAAAGUGAAAGUAGGAGUAACUAAUCACAAAAUGGCCGACAAUAAAAUAUAGCUUUGAAUGGACAUUUUUGUGUGUUUUCUGGUGGACUUCUGUUCAGAUUGAUUCAAUGUUUUCUGGUUGCGCUUUCUGGGCAUUUCUUCUCGUUCUUCUUGUCGAGCUGUUCCUCUGAUUGUUGCUCAUUUUUGCCGCCUGCUUGUGUUGCUGCUGCCUUCUGAUUUGGAUGGUGUUUUUCUUUGCUCAUAUAUAUUUUUUUUUAUAAUUGUAGAAAGGAGGAUCUAAUCCUGUUCUUUAGAUAGAGAGAUUAUACAUUAACCCAUAAAUCAAAUGUUCGAGUACUUGCUCAUAUUUACUGCAAUUGUCUUCCUUUUGUUGUUGGUCAUGAAGGUUAUGUUUGGUUUUUGUUCUCAUGGUUUUUUUUUUUGUUUCUUUUGUUUAUUUGUUAUUCUCCUUUCGUUCUCUUGGAUGCUGGUUUUUUUGCUUCCAAGGAAUUUUUAUUCCUUGUUGAUUAAUGAUAUCUUUAUCUUUAAAAAAAAAAAAGAGUUAAAUUUAUUCUCACUGCUAUAUAUAUCCAACAUCAACUACUAUAUAUAUCCAACAUCAAUAAAAUUGUCAAUCUUAUAAUAAUCCAAAAUUUUAAAAUAUAAAAAUAAAUCAAACAAAAAGAGGCACAUGUUAUCAUUAAUUUAUUAAUUUUAUUUAUGUCUUAUCUUCAUAAUAAUGUGCACGAAGGUACACAAAUGCAUAGCACAUAAGGGUUGAUUUCAAGAUGGAAACGAAUAAAACCAAUUUGGUAGAAAAUGUUCAAAUGCAAAAGAACAACAAAAAAUUACAGAGUGCUAUAAAAUACCUAUGCACUUGUUGGAUUUAACAGUCUAUUCCUCUUUAUCCAACAAAUCAAACUUUAGGCCGGAAUCGCCCAACUUUUCUUCAGAAAGUUGUUUCAUGCGAUCAGCCAUUGGUGGGUUUAUGAAAUUCACCCAAUCUCCCACCUUACCAUUCCUAAAAAAUGCUGAAUUCUUAAGCCCAACAUAGCUUUCUCCAGUUAUGUUCACUUCCAAAGUCUUCAAGGUUUCAAAGCGACACAGCUUUGAUAUUUCUUCAACUACUCCUUGUCUAAUUUCCUCCUCCGAGAAAGGGUAGCCCAAGAAAUCAGCCAGCUUCUUCAAGUUGGAAGCAAUAUCCUUCUUCAAAUCUUCAUAUUUCAAAAAUAAGACUUUUUCAGGAUGCUCCAAACUCAUCUUCCAAUACCCUAAAACAUGUUCCCAAAAUGGACCAUAGGCAUGAAUUCCUUUACAAAACCUGUCAAAACCUUCCUCUAUCGAAAAAGGUUUGAAAUCUUCAUUUCUAGGAAAAUUAUCCACAAUAAAGUGCCAAUCCGAGAUGAAUUGGUCGAGAGGGUUCCUGCAAAGAUAAACAAUGCGACAAUUGGAUUUUAGGAUGGAACUAGGCAAUGUACCAUAGGGUGUGUGAGUUGCAAAAAUUCUUGGGCUAGGAAAAUUUUCAUUUUCAAGAUCAGGAGUUUGGUUUUUCGAGUAAAUGUUGAAAUCAAUGAAAGGCACAAGUUCAUGGGGGUUUGCUGUGAGCAAAGGGCUUUGCGUGAGUGGAAAUUGAUUGCGGUUCACAAUGGAGAAGAUGAGAGCCUUCAACCAUGUGGUGCCUGAUUUGGGCGUAGUGAUUAAGAAGAUAUCAGUUUCAUGGGCUUUGACGUGGUUUUGAAAUGCAAUGACUGCCUUGGGUGCAAAGAAUGGGUACCAAAAGCCUUGGUAUUGGUAGAGAGUGGAGCCAACCCAGUCCUUCUCUUGUGGAAGUGUUUGAAUCAAUUCUUCCAUUAGCUUGUCUCCUUCGGUGGAAAUGUUUUUGGAUGCAGUUUUAUCAUCCAUAAGAGCAGAGCAAAUUGAGUGAAUGUUUGCUGAGAAGAAAGCUAGUGAGAAAUGAGUGCCAAAUAUGAUCCAAUGAAUACGCGUAUAUAGACACCAUAAAAAAAUUCAGGCUCCAGAUCUCGAAUUUAAGAAAUCUUCUGGUCAAACCUACCUUGAAAUUUUCGAAACUAAUGAAAAAACAAUAGCAUUCAAAGUUUGCAGCUAUGACUUUUGAGGAAAAAUGUAUAGACACCAUAAGAAUGAUAUAAAUAGAGGCCUAAGAGCCACCUAACCACAUGCCACCGGAGGGCAUGUUCUCAUAGGGGGGAUCAUGGUCCAGUAAUUGAUAAAGAGACAGCAAUUAAUCCACAUGCUCAGUCCCAAAAGAAUCGGGAUAUGGAAGAUCACUUAAGCCCAACUUGUGCAAGUUCAUCGGCGACGGUGUUGGCUUCUCUACGGAUAUGCACCAGCUGCCACGUCUUCACCUCUUGCUUUAAUAAACAACUGGUUGACCACGUUAUUUAAACAGCAUGGGACAUUUAGCGGAUUGUUGCACCGGUUCAUUGCAUUGGUCGAGUCGUUCUCUUCCAACUUGACAUGUGAGGAGCUCCACGUUCCUCAACUCGUGUUUUAUUUUUAUUUUUUUAACAAAAGCUCUUGUUUUACUUUCUUAUUCCAUUUACAAUCUUCCUUGAAUUUAGCAGUAUAAUAUAUUCAACCAUAGUUGUCAUAUCUUCAAUCAUAUUUUGUCUUAGUGAAAUUUUCUAUACUUUAUUUCUUAAUUAAAUUUUUAGAUUUCUUUUUUUUUUUAAUGAUCAAAUUCUUCAAUCCAAGGAUCAAAUGCAUCAUCAUUGAAUCCGACUCUAUCAGCUCAAUGGAAAUGAUCAAGACAGGAUAAAAUCAUACAGUCUUACGUAGUAAAAUAAAAUCUCAAAACAAAUAACAAAUGGUCAUUAGCAUCUUUGGAGAAUGUUUUUCUUUGAUACUUGUUUUAUGACUCAUAUAUUUGACAAAAUUAAUGUCACGACCCAGAACUCCCAUAAGGCCCAUAACAACCGCCGCAAACCUCGACAGACAUUCUUCCCCUGAAUGCCUUUGGGGACCUCGCAAGGCUUUUGUACCAAUUUUUCUAUUCCUCUUUUUUUUUUUUUUCCUUUUUGAAUAAUAAAAUAAAAAUAUUAAUUAAAAAAAUCUAUUUUAAUGUAAAACAAUAUAUACGUAUAUUUUUGAAACAUCAAAAAUUAGUUUUCUGCACAUAAAAACAAAAUAAAUUUAUACAUAUUGUAAUAUAGAAAACUGGAGUAUAUAAUUUUAUAAUGACACGUGGGCCCCCAAAUAACUGAGAAAGUUUAAGUCUAUAACCUUACUUUCUAGGAUGCAACUUCGAAAUUUACUACUCGAUGCAAUUGGCAGUCUAUUGCCUAUUCUGAGCCCGAAAAAUGUAUAAGAAGAAGAGGUGAGAUUGUAAAAUCUCAGUGAGUAGACAGACAUCAUCAAAAUAAUCUAAAGCCGAGUAAUAGGAGACAAUUAAAAUAAUUCAUCCCAACCCAUAUAAAUAAUUGGAUUUCAUCCAAUUACUCAACAUGGCUUAUGCACUUUUCAAAAACUUGGCCCUUGCCAAAAAUUCAUUCUCGGAGAUACCCAGCAAAGGCAUCUUACCGAGACCGCCAAGGCUGUUUAUUGUCACACACACAAACACAUUUCACCUCUGACAACACAGCCGUUCCUCAACGUUGGCUGAGUCCCAGUUUCACGUGGUGGCCAACAUGAAAUGUACUCAAAUCCUACCUCGGGAGUUAUCCUACGCGCCUCUCCAAUCGAGGUAAGCUCAAUAAUUGGGAACCAUGCCCCUCUAAUUAGGCUGGCCCACAGAACCCCCGUCACUGCAGUGCCCACUUUAUAAUCCACCAAUCAAUAAAAUCAUAAUAGUAUGACAUGGCUCACUUAACACAUUCAAGGCAAAUCAAAAAAGUUCAUACAUUCUUUAAAUCAUAAAAAUAACCAGUCAUACUCACAUUUAUCAUAAGCCAUUUAAUGUAAAAUUAUGGAUAAACAACACAAUCAUAGUAUAGGUCUCCAAUUACUCUAUUUUUGAAAUCAUUAUUAAAUUUUCAAAAAUUUUAUAAAAUUAUUUUAUAAAAUCUCAUUUUCCCAUAAAACACAAUAAUUUUCCAAUUAAACCAUUUUUCCAUAAAAUCACACAAUUAAAUAAAUCUACUCUAGAUAAUUAAGACGAUAGUAAGUUUACUCACUGUACUAGGAGUAGAUAUACUCCUAUUCUCGGUCCUCGGGUGUAGUCUUUUACCCGUAUCAGAUAGCUCACCACCUAUCCACAAUACAUGACACAAAAAAUUCAAUAAUUUGUGUCAAAUCAAUAUAUAUUAUUUCAGGCUCUUAUCCAUGCGUAUGCACUAGAUAGGGUGUGAAAUGUUUGGACAAUCGCUUAAUCACAGUGUCCGACCUAACUCGCCUAUACACGGUGUAAAUUUCUAAAAUCUCCAAUUCAACUCCAAGUCCAUCCAUUUCAAUUUCAAUUAUCCAAUUAUAUCCACAAUACCUCAAUGACUAUGAAUGUGGUCCAAUUUAUCAGUUCGGAUCACAAAUUACGCUUUUACCCCUAGUGGGUAAAAAUUUCAAUUUUUUUGCACCAAAAAUUCCCAUUUAAUUUCCAACCUCAUAAUUCAUCAUUUUUCCAUCUAAUUCUCUUAAAAUAAAGUCAACCUCAUCCUCACACACCAUUGGCUAGAUUCGGCCUAGAGAAAUUCAUGGAGAAAAUGAAUAUUUUUCUUGUUGUUUUACUCAUAAACAUGCUAAACUAACACUAAACACUAACAUAGUUCAAAAUCAAAUUAAUCUAACAACUUUCUCUCUCUAAACCCAUAUGAUCAGAUUUGAAUCCAUCAUCAAAACACAUAAUUUAACCAUGGAAAAUAAGGAGAAAUGCAUGGAAAUGAUAAAUCUUAAGCUAAGCUUGAAAAAUCAUACCUUUAAACACUUGAUUCCUUGAAAAAUCACACUUUUUCUUUGAAUUUUCUCACUCUAGGGUUUGUUCUUAUUUCUCUCUCUCUCUCCUGCUGGUUUUGGCUGACCCUCCCAAUAAAGAAUUCUGGAAUUUUCAAGCCUCUUAAUAGGCUUAAUAAAAUAUUAUUAUUUUAUUUACCUUUUGAAUAUUUUUUUUUUCUAGCCAUUUUUUUUACUUUCUUUUUCUACCACUCAAUCCUCUUCACUUAUCCAUGUCUUCCAUGAAAUUUCUAGACUUUUCCAAAGUUUUGGUGGAGCAAAUUUUUAAAAAUUACACUUUUACCCCAUAAUGUGAAAAAUUACAUUUUUACCCCAAAAAUUGAAAAAUUUCCCAUAGAUAUAUUUUUCAUCCCUUAUACUCAUACCAUUCUCCAAUUUGUCAAAUGUGAGCUAAAUUCUCUCAAAAUCUCAAAUUUUGUCCGCAAGUGAAAAAAUUACGAUUUUGCCCUUAGAUAGUGAAAAUUUCGGUUUGACUCCGAAUUGAUCCUCGAACUCCGAAUUACCAUUUUGAGUCACCCCUGAACUGUGAAACUCUUAAUUUCACCUUAAAAUUCCUAUUUGAACUAGUUCGAGGCUUAAUUGACUCAAUGGUACCAUUAUGGGCAAUAUCGUCUUUUAAUGAUUUCUCGAACUUUCAAAAUAUACAAACAUUCUAUCGAGCAUGUGAAUAACAUUAUAAUUAUUUUACAAAGCAGAGUUUGACAAUUAAUGUAUUUACCCUAAAUAUAGCCAUUUAAAUCUUGUGUGUCAAUCUGCUUGUAUUUCCAUUUCAUCAGCCAACCUCUACCACAAUUAAAUGAGGAAUCCUGAAUGUGGCAGUGUACUAAUGAGACAACUCCUGCCCAUACAUUCUGAAAUGAGAAGUGAAAGUAGUGUUGGAAAAUAAUGUAUUUUAUAAGGUUCAAACAUCCCACAUUGCCAAAAUAUAUAAAAGGUGAAUGCCUUAUAUUAGGAAACCAACUAUGGACUUGUUGCAAGCAAGAAAAAUAGAGUGGGCUCGCGCGCACACAAAAUUGGGCCAAACCUUUAGAAACUUCAGAUUCCCUCUCCUUGCAAGCGAGUAUACACGUGGGUUGUGCCCAAGUGACUUUUUGUACCUGGACUUUAUUUUUUUGAACUUUUUCAGCCUUUGAUUAAAUCAAAGUCCAACUCUACCAUACUUACCUAAUUCUUCUAGUUUUCCUCAAUGUUUAUCCUAGUUUUGCUCCAACGUGUAUCUGACUUGGUAUAAAUGUUGACCAAUUUUUCCUCAACUCCCUGAUCUGGUGCAACGUUCACCUCACUCCAUGUUUAUAAAUACAACCUCACACCCUCACUCACAAGACACACCAAAGCUUUUCUUCUCUUAAGCUUUCUCUGUUGGGUUUUCUUCUUUUUUUUUUUCUGCUGUUCUUGUCAUCCCUUAAUAGUUUGUGCAAACUAUAAGGAAGGGUCUGUUGAAUCCUGGAGGAUAACCGCUACAGUCCUUUUGCAUCGAGUUUUAUACUCCGAAAGGGCAAAAAUUAUCCUUAAGGACAGUGAUACCAUGCCUCAGACCAAUUACUGCUUUUACUAGUUUUAUAUUCCUUUAUUUCUAAUAUUUUUCUAACAUUCUUAAGGAUAAUAGAUUCCCACGUUAAUAAUGUUGCUGCCACUGUUCCUAAUGCUGCCUCUGUCUCUACUGCCACCACCACUGUCAACGGUUCCCCCAUAGCUCCCACUCCGAUGAUCAUUCCUCCUAUGCCCUCGACUUCAUAUGCGAAACCAUUUCUAGAUAUUUCCAAAAUAGAAGUCUUUGAUGGCAGAAACUUCAAAAAGUGGCAAGAAAGGAUUUUUUCAAUCCCUGAUGUUCAUGGGGUUGCUUUUGCACUAAUUUAUUUCAAGCCAGAUGAAGUCAAGAUGCUGGAACCAUGGAUGCAUGCAAAUAAGGUAUGCAGGCAUGCAAUCAUUAGCACAUUUUCUAAUGAGUUGUUUGAUGUAUACAGCCCUUACAAAGAAACAAAGCAAAUAUGAGAGUCAAUGAUAGCCAAAUACACUGCUGAAGAUGUUGGGAAACAGAAGUUCGUGAUUGGCAACUUUUAUUGCUGGAAGAUGACAGAUGACAAGGACAUCAAGAGUCAAAUCAAUAAAUACCACAAGCUGGUGGAUGGUUUGAAGGUUGAAAAAAUCAACUUGCAAGAAGAGUUCGUUGAUGGGUUGUUGAUUGAGAAGCUAACAGAAUCCUGGAAUGGAUACAAGCAACAACUGAAGCACAAGGAAAAGCAGUUGUCACUUGCAGAUUUGAUUGUGCACAUCAUUAUUGAAGACACAACUCGCAGGGAGAUUAAGGCCUCCAAAGCUAAGGAAAUUGCAACUAAAGCCAAUCUGGUGCAAGGCAAAACCAAGCGCCAACAAAGGUACCCUUACAAACCUGAUCAUAAACCCAAAGCUCCUCAUCUCACCUUUAAAAAGAAGGGUAGUUGUUUUGUCUGUGGAAAGUCAGGGCAUCAUGCAGCACAAUGCAGGAAAAUAGCAAAGGGAAAUGACAAACCUGCUAAUCCAAGAGUCAACUUGGUCAAAGUAGAUGAAUCUGACGAUGUAAUUGCUGCGGUCAUUUCACAAGCAAAUAUGGUUGCCAGUGUGAAGGAAUGGGUGGUAGACUCAGGUGCUACCAAGCAUAUUUGUGCAAACAGAAAUGCCUUUACCUCCUAUACUCCUAUAGGGGAAGGAGAAGAGACAAUUUACCCCAGUGAUUCUCGAACUGCUCAAGUUCUUGGUAAAGGGAAAGUCCUUCUCAAGCUCACAUCUAACAAGACCCUAGCUCUAAAUGAUGUUCUUCAUGUUCCCAAUAUAAGGGCAAACCUGGUAUCUAUGGCCUUAUUAGGCAAGGUUGGGGUGAAAGUGUCAUUCGAAUCUGACAAGAUAGUGAUGACCAAAAAUAAUGUGUUUGUGGGUAAGGGUUAUUGCAAUCAAGGACUCUUUGUACUUAAUAUUUCCAAUGUUUGGAAUGAAAAUGACAAUUCUUUCACUUACAUGAUUGACUCUGAUGAUUUAUGGCAUGGUAGACUAGGACAUGUUAGUAUUCCCUAUAUUAAGAAAAUGCAAUCACUAGGAUUAAUUUCUAAUAUUAAAAAUGGAUGCUUUAAUAAAUGUGAAAUAUGUGUUGAAACGAAAUCAACUAAGAAAAAUUGUAUUUCAGUAAAUAGAGAAUCUGAAUUAUUAAGUUUAAUUCAUACAGACUUAGGAGAUCUAAAACAAACUGUGACUAGAUGAGGUAAGCAAUACUAUGUUACAUUUAUUGACGAUUAUUCUAGAUUUACUAAAGUUUAUUUACUUAGGCAUAAAGAUGAAGCUUUUGACAUGUUUAUUAAAUAUAAAGCUGAGGUAGAAAAUCAAUUGAAUAAAAAGAUAAAAAGAGUUAGAUCAGAUAGAGGGGGUGAAUAUAUACCGAUUAAUGAUAUUUGUGAAAAAGAAUGAAUAAUUCAUGAAAUUACUCCUCCAUAUUCUCCUGAAUCAAAUGGUGUAGCUUAAAGAAAAAAUAGAACAUUAAAAGAAAUGAAGAACUCUAUGCUUGUUACUUCCAAUGCACGUGAAAAUUUGUGGGGUGAAGCUUUAUUAUCUACAUGUCAUAUUCAAAAUAGAAUACCUUAUAAGAAAACUGGUAAGACACCUUAUGAAUUAUGGAAAGGUUAUUCUCCUAAUUUAAAAUAUUUAAAAGUAUGGGGGUGUCUAGCUAAGGUAAUGCUUCUUGAAUUUAAGAAGAGAAAAAUUGGUUCUAAAACAUCUGAUUGCAUGUUUAUUGGUUAUGCUGAACAUAGUGUUGCAUAUAGGUUUCUUGUAUUAAAAAGUGAUGUUAUUGAUUGUAAUACAAUUGUUGAAACAAAGAAUGCUGAAUUUUUUGAACUUAUUUUUCUAUUAAGAAUUGAUACAAUUUCUCAUACACCCUUUAGUAAAAAUGAUUUUGAAAUACAAAAUGAUGAUUUGAGAAGGAGUAAAAGACCAAGGAAGGAAAUUUCUUUUGGUAAUGAUUUUUGUACUUAUCUUGUAGAUAAUGAUCCUUUGACUUAUGUUGAUGCAAUUUCUUCUAAAGAAAGUUUAUUUUGGAAAGAAGCCAUACAAAAUGAGAUUGAUUCGAUUUUACAAAAUCAAACUUGGGAAUUAGUUGAUUUACCACCUGGAGCCAAACCAAUUGGUUGCAAAUGGAUUUUUAAAAGGAAAAUUAAUUCUAAUGGUUCUAUUGAUAAAUAUAAAGCUAGAUUAGUUACAAAGGGUUUUACUCAAAAACCAAACAUUGACUAUUUUGAUACUUUUUCUCUAGUAACAAGAAUUGCAUCAAUUCGUGUUUUAUCUACCUUAGCUUCAAUUUACAAACUUAUUGUUCAUCAAAUGGAUGUAAAAACUGCUUUUUUAAAUGGUGAUUUAGAAGAAGAAAUUUAUAUGACACAACCUGAGGGAUGUAUUCUUCCUAAUCAAGAAAACAAAGUUUGUAAAUUAAUUAAAUCAUUAUAUGGUUUGAAAUAAGCACCAAAACAAUGGCAUGAGAAAUUUGAUCAAAUUCUUGUUAGUAAUGGAUUUUCUACUGUUAGAGUUGAUAAAUGUCUGUACACAAAAAUUGUUGAUAGUGGAUGUGUGAUUAGUAGCUUAUAUGUUGAUGAUAUGCUUAUUUUUGGUACAAGCAUUGAUGUGGUUAAUAAAACAAAAUGUUUUUUGACUUCUAAAUUUGACAUGAAAGAUUUGGCAGAAGCCAAAGUUAUUUUGGGUUUUAAAAUCAUAAGAUGUGAUAGUGGCUUAAUGCUAACACAAGGGCAUUAUGUUGAGAGGCUACUUAAAAGGUUUAGACAUUUUGAUGUCACACCUGUGAGUACUCCUUAUGAUAGUAAUAUCCAAUUAAAGAAAAAUAGAGGUGAUAGUGUAGCUUAGUCUGAGUAUGCACAAAUUAUUGGGAGUCUGAUACAUUUGAUGAAUUAUACUCGACCAAAUAUAGCUUAUGUUGUAUGUAGACUGAGCAGAUAUACACAAAGUCCUAAUAGAGAUCAUUGGACUGCCUUGAGUAGGGUGAUGAAAUAUUUGAAAGGUACCAUAAACUAUGGUAUUUUAUAUAAUGGAUUUCCCACUGUAUUAGAAGGAUACAGUAAUGCUAACUGGAUCUCAAAUUCAGAUGAGACGAAAUCUACAAGUGGUUAUGUAUCCACCCUUGGUGGGGGUGCUAUAACUUAGAAAUCAGCCAAACAAACAAUAAUUGCUAAAUCUACAAUGGAGUCAGAAUUUGUAGCUUUAGAGUUGGCUGGUAAUGAGGCUGAGUGGUUGAGAAACCUCUUACCAGAUAUUCCAUUGGGAAUGAAACCAACACCUUCUGUGUCCAUGCAUUGUGAUUACUAAGCGGCAAUAACCAUUGCAAAGAAUAAAACUUUCAAUGGUAAAAAUAGACACAUUCGUUUGAGACAUGAUAUAGUAAAGCAGCUGCUUAGAGAUGGAAUUAUAUCCAUUAAUUAUGUGAAGUCAGAGCUGAAUUUGGCAGAUCCUCUGACUAAACCCCUGGAAAGAAAAUUAAUUAAUGCUACAUCGAGGGGAAUGGGAUUUAAGCCAAAUGAGAAAAUCAACAAAUAGUAAUAACCCAACCUAUGUGAUUGGAAAUCCCAUGAAUUAGGUUCAUAUGGGUAAUAACAAGUUAUUUGUUGAUAAAUUAAUGUACUAUUGAAAUUAUUGUCCCUCUUAUGGUGUGUAAGUAGUGCAAAACUGUAAUGUAAGAAAGGUUGAGUUAAACUCUUAAUGCAUUCCAUAUUCCUUAUGGGUAGUGUAUUAUACUGUAGUAUACACUUGAUGGAAUCAACCUAUAUAAGUGUGGAGUGGGGCCGCUUCUAUGAGAAUUAUGGCAAAUUCUCUAGAGCACUUAUGAAUAACCAGGCACGCGCAUGGCCUAUUCUCGCAAAACCGCGUUGAACAGCAAAAAUUGUGGAGAUGUAAUGUGAUUGAUGAAAACUAUAUUUCACAUAAAGAAUUUUGGUUCAUAUAAGUUACAAACUUAACCAAAAUUCUGUGACUUAUAUUUCAUUCUUUCUAUGGGUGGUUCAUAGCUUAAAAGGCAUCAGUCACGAUACAUUACACUCAAAUGAAAUUUGACCCAGUAAAACUUCUUAUAAAACUUUAUGAAAUAUGUGGGGGAUUGUUGAAAAAUAAUGUAUUUUAUAAGGUUCAAACAUCCCAUAUUGCCAAAAUACAUAAAAGGUGAAUGCCUUAUAUUGAGAAACCAACUAUGGGCUUGUUGCAAGCAAGGAAAAUGGAGUGGACUCGCGCGUACACCAAAUUGGGCCAAACCUUUAGAAACUUCAGAUUCCCUCCCUGCUCACGAAUAUACACGUGGGCUGUGCCCAAAUGACUUUUUGUACCUUGACUUUAUUUUUUUAAGCUUUUUCAGCCUUUGAUUAAAUCAAAGUCUAACUCUACCAUGCUUACCUAAUUCUCUUGGUUUUCCUCAAUGUUUAUCCUGGUUUUGCUCCAACGUGUAUUUGACUUGGUAUAAAUGUUGACCAGGUUUUUCUCAACUUCCUGAUCUGGUGCAACGUUCACCUUAUUUGGUGCAACGUUCACCUCACUCCAUGCUUAUAAAUACAGCCUCACACCCUCACUCACAGGACACACCAAAGCUUUUCUUCUCUUAAGCUUUCUCUGUUGGGUUUUCUUCUUUUUUUUUUCUUUCUGCUGUUCCUGUCAUCCCUUAAUAGUUUGUGCAAACUAUAAGGAAGAGUCUAUUGAAUCCUGGAGGAUAACCGCUACAGUCAUUUUACACCGAGUUUUAUACUCCGAAGAGGCAAAAAUUAUCCCUAAGGAUAGUGAUACCACGCCUCAAACCAAUUACUGCUUUUACUAGUUUUAUAUUCCUUUGUUUCUAAUAUUUUUCUAACAAGUAGGAGUAGCUAAUCACCAAGUAGCCAACAACAAAAAUAUUGCUUUGAACGACAUUUUCAACAAUAAUAAAAGAAGAAAGUUUUUUAAUUAUUUAAGAGUGAAAGUCCAACAAGACAAACUGGAUGGGAAUAUUCAUUACUCGUUUUGAAAUCCGAGGUUAUUGGAUGCAAGUAGAGCCCCAAGUGUUUUUCUUUGAUGCUUGUUUUAUGACUCAUAUAUUUGCCAAUAUUAAUGUAAUUUAUCCUAAAUAUACCCAUUUAAAUCUUGAGUGUCAACCUACUUACAUUUCCAUCAGGCCUAGUCUCCUGAAAAUUGAAGGCAAUUUAUUCACUUAUAAAAUUCAAUGAUGCAGCAGCACAUAAUUACAGGGCAUAAAUUAGGUAUUGGAAGAGGACACCUGAGACCCCAUCCUCCCUUGACAAGAAACCCCCAGAGCUACUCUAACUUCACUUUGAUACAGACCGUUCUAGCAGUCAACCACACACCAUGGAACCAAUCCUAGUUACGACAAGCCAUACUGAACGGUCCCCAGAUUCCUGUGGGCAGCGACUGCCACAACUGCAGCACCAACUGCACCAAACUGGGAUUGUGCCUGCAUAAGUUUUGUAUCAAUGGGUAAUCUAUCAUUUAACUGCUCAGCCUUGGCUCGCGGUUGGUAAUAGGGGUUGCUGUUGAUGUCAAUAACCAUCCCAGGGGGUGGUUUUGCAGCCAUGCUAGGCUGCAGUUUGGCUUGUGGAUCCCUACCCGCCUGUAUUCCAGAUUUCUCUUGAUUUGUGGUGCUAGUCCUCAGGAAACAAUGUGGGGAGACAUUCUGUGGAGGAAGGACUGCAUUUCUGUAUAAGAUCUUUGCAUUGUACCCAUCUUUAACAUUUUUCCCAUUCUCAUAUGGUAUGACAGAUCCAACAACUCUCCCAGGUUUUGCUGUACAAAGCAAAAGGAGAACAGAAUCCUGGAUCAGCUAAUGUCGAAGCAACAAAGGGACAUGCAUUGCUAUAAUCGAUAACAAGUCUACUCAGUGCAGACCUAAGCAAAAUGAGCAAAAGUAUUUUUAACAUUUAAAGCCAGAGACCUGAGGAAUAAGUGUCUUCAGUAAUGUGAAACUCAUUUAAAGAGAUUCAGUUCCAAUUUUUAAUGGCCACCAAACCCACAUAUGGCAGAUAUAGACAGGGAGGCCAGAGAAACCACAUGCAAUGGGGAUAUUUGUACGACAAAUGUUGCUUGACCAAAAGAAAGCUGAGGUAAAAGAACAGACAUUGCCCUCUCACCUAGAGAAUUCGUUGAGAACUUAUCUUUUCAAAUUUUACGAGGAAAUCUUAUCAUUGAGAUCAUUGGCGUGUCAAUGGAGUGCAAGUUCAUAAUUAAUUAUUACAAUUGACAACCUUUUAUCGAUGUCAUUUCUAAGAUCCUCUCAUCAUUUUGAUAAAAUUCGAAAAUAUCAUCUCACCUAAAAAAUUAUCCAAUAAAACUUAUCCUUACAAGUUUCUUGAAUAAAUCACAUCAUCGGGAUUGGCAAUCUUGUACAAAAUAAAGGUUGUUGGGCAUGAUACAUAUUAUAAUUUGUUAAAUACAAAUCAAAAUCUUGUAUUGAAAACGUUUCUCAGAUCCUCUCAUCCUUCUGGUACAAUUUGGGAUCAAAUUCUCACCUAGAGAAUUUCUUAGGAAAACUUAUCUUUACAAUCUUUCUCAAAAAGAUCUCAUCAUCAGAAUCUUGAUUCGCAUGCAGGAUAUAAAAUCAAAAUGAAUGGAAUGACAAUUUUAAAAAAAUGUAAUGAUGAUGGCACAUAAUAAUCUAGCUAUUAUUUUUACUAUUCUUUUUUGGCAAAGUUAAAAUAUUAUUUUCUAUUAUUAUAUUAUUAUUAUUAUUCUAUUGUUUACUUAUUAUUAUUUUUUACAUUAUCUUGUGUAUUUCCAAUAGUGAUGAAUAAAACCUAAAUAUCCUAUCAUGUUAUUUUUAUAAAAAUAUAAAUAUUCAAUAUUUUUAAGGCAUCAACAUGAUUUAUAAAUAUCUUACGCUAAACUAUAUCUAUUUAUUUAUUUAUUUACUUUUUUUUGCAUAUCCAUAUUAUUUUAACACACAUUAUUUCAUGUGAUUAAAUAUGAUAUUUUGUUCAUAUAUUUUUUAGAAAAUAAAAAUAUUAUUGCAUGAUUACUAAACAAACAAACAAAAAUCAAAGAGAAAACAUAAACUAACGAAAACGAAGCCCAAUAGCAAGUCAAACCAAUAUUCAAAGGGAGGUCCAUUACGUUAGAUUGUUUGCAUUCUUUCCAGGGCUUGGCUUUCGGUUUGUACCCAAAGAAAAACUUCCAUGGACCACAACGAAGUCCAAUAAGCCGCACUAGAUGGAAAUAUUUCAUUAGGUUAUUGAAUACCUUCACCUGUGUCCAUUCCACGUAUAAGAAAUGUUUCUUUUCAGACACUAGAAGCAGCCCCAAGUGUUUUUCUUUGAUGCUUGUUUUAUGACUCAUAUAUUUGACAAAAUUAACGUAUAUACCGUAAAUAUAAUUUUUUUUUUUUUAUAAUUAGGAAAGAAGAAUUUGAACUCUACUCUUUAGACAAAUAGAUCAUAUACCAAUCAAUGAAUUAAAUGUUCGAGUGCACCUAAAUAUAGCCAUUUAAAUCUUGUGUGUUAAUCUGCUUGUAUUUCCAUUACAUCAGCCAGCCUCUUCCACAAUUAAAUGAGGAAUCUUGAAUGUGAAAGUGUACUAAUGAGACAAUUCCGGCUCAUAUAUUCUGACAUGGAAAGUGAAAGUAGGAGUAACUAAUCACAAAAUAGCCCACAAUAAAAUAUUACUUUGAAUGGACAUUUUUGUGUGUUUUCUGGUGAACUCCUGUUCAGAUUGAUUCAAUGUUUUCUGGUUGCGGUUUCUGGGCAUUUCUUCUCGUUCUUCUUGCUGGGCUGUUCCUCUUAUUGUUGCUCAUUUUUGCCGCCUGCUUGUGUUGCCGCUGCCUUUUGAUUUGGAUGGUGUUUUUCUUUGCUCAUAUUUUUUUUUAUAAUUGUGGAAAGGAAAAUUUGAAUCUUGUUCUUUAAAUAGAAAAAUUAUUCAUCAACCAAUAAAUCAAAUAUUCGAGUGCUUGUUCAUAUUUAUUAAUGAUAUCUUUAUCUUUCAAAAAAAAGUUAAAUUUAUCUCACUACUAUAUAUAUCCAGCAUAAAUAAAAUUGUCAAUUUUAUAAUAAUCCAAAAUUGUAAAACAUAAAAAAAAAUCAAACAAAAAGAGGCACAUGUUAUCAUUAAUCUAUUUUAUUUAUGUCUUAUCUCCGUAAUAAUGUGCACGAAGGUACACAAAUGCAUAGCACAUAAGGGUUGAUUUCAAGAUGGAAAGGAAUAACACCAAUUCGGUAGAAAAUGUUUAAAUGCAAAAGAACAACGACAGAUUAAAGAGUGCUACAAAAUUCCUAUGCACUUGUUGGAUUUAACAGUCUAUUCCAUUUUAUCCAACAAAUCAAACUUUAGGCCGGAAUCGCCCAACUUUUCUUCAGAAAGUUGUUUCAUGCGAUCAGCCAUUAGUGGGCUUAUGAAAUUCACCCAAUCUCCCACCUUACCAUUCCUAAAAAAUGCUGAAUUCUUAAGCCCAUCAGGCCUUUCUCCAGUCAUGUUCACUUCCACAGUCUUCAAGGUUUCAAAGCUACACAGCUUUGAUAUUUCUUCAACAACUCCUUGUCUAAUUUCCUCCUCCGAGAAACGGUAGCCUAAGAAAUCAGCCAGCUUCAUCAAGUUGGAAGUAAUAUCCUUCUUCAAAUCUUCAUAUUUCAAAAACAAGACUUUUUCAGGAUGCUCCAAACUCAUCUUCCAAUACCCUAAAACAUGUUCCCAAAAUGGACCAAAGGCAUGAAUUCCUUUACAAAACCUGUCAAAACCUUCCUCUAUUGAAAAAGGUUUGAAAUCU
RNAcentral lists this long non-coding RNA (26394 nucleotides) under Theobroma cacao (cacao). Its description in RNAcentral is "long non-coding RNA (TCAC_LNC004326)". Lineage: Eukaryota; Viridiplantae; Streptophyta; Magnoliopsida; Malvales; Malvaceae. The record is from RNAcentral.